UUCAGUCCCAGAGACCUUACCCAGUUCCAGGGGCAGGGGACAGGGGCAGGGGGCCCAGGGUGGAGAGCGAGGCUCCCACGAUCUUUCUGUCCAGCAAGGAGCAGAGAGCAAGAAACCCUGAGGGACUGAGACAAGGAAACCUGGAGGCAAGGCUCAGGUGGGGCUGGCCCCUGCAUCCAGGGUCAAAUCAAGGGGCUUCCAGACAGGAGGGAUCCACUGGCUCAGGGCCCAGACCCUGUCCAUGCCCAUCCCUGUCGCCGGAGGGAGGGGCCCUGGCCUCGCCCAGGGCAGCCCUGUCCCAGCUGCAGUGCAGGCCGCUGGGCUCUGCAGAACAGUCCUUCCUGCAGCUGGAGCACAAGAACCACAGUCUGGUGAGCACCCCACCCACCGCCUGGCACUCCUGCCCCAGCCCCAGCCCCAGGAACGGCCAUGACAGGCAGUCCCCUCUCUCUGCCACCCACCGCCUGGUGCUCCUGCCCCAGCCCCAGCCCCAGGAACGGCCAUGACAGGCAGUCCCCUCUCUUUGCCCCCCACCCCCAGAAGAGGCAGAACCAGGACCUUCGGGAGCAGCUAGGGGCCCUCCUGGGGCCGGGGCAGCAGUUCCUGCUCGUGUCCCAAACACUCAAGCUGUACUCCCCUGGCCUGGUACAGAGCCCAGGGACCCCAUGCAGCCAAUGCUGAUCUGGGGGCUCUCCCACAGCCCCCUGACCCAGCUAACAUGCAGCCCUUGGGAAACAGGGCACCUCUGCAGCUGCUGUGGCAGGAGCUGUGUCAGCGGCAAAAGGCUUUCAUGCAGCAGUCCCAGGUGGGCCUGGGGGAGGGGUUGUGGGGGGGGGGACCUUCAUGCAACACUCCAGGAGGGCCUGGGGGGGUUCAGUGGGGAGGGAAGAACCUUCGUGCAGCAGGCCGGUGGGCCUGGGAGAGGGGCUAUGCGGGGAGGAACCUUCGUGCAGCAGGCCGGUGGGCCCAGCAGGGAGGUACUGGCCACCCUGCUGAUGCUGCCCAAGCCCACCCUGGGCCCCACCCUCAGAACGAGCUACAGCAGAUCCGCCUGUGCUUUGAGAAGAUGGUCAUCACAGAGCAUGGCUGAGAUGCACAUGGCCCUGAACAACCAGACACCAGGCUCCUGGUAGGUCCCCACGGAGCAGCACCCAGAAGGAUGGGGCCGGGCAGGUGAGAGGCCAGGUAGGGCGGGGCCGGGGCCUGCUGUGCUUACCUCCUCUGGCCCCCAACACCUCAAGAAGGACAUCCGGGGCGUGCUGGACCAGAAGAACAUCUAGCUGGGGAUUCUCAGGUAACAUGGGGGCAGGGACUGGGUCGGCUGAACAGGGUCUCGGAAGGGGUCCUGGUCAGGACAGGGCAGAUCCAUCCUUGACCCCCACCUCCAUAGCGCUGAGCCAGGGGGUGGGUGCCAGGCUGGGGGUGGAGCGCGUGGGGUCCUGACAGGCCUCUGCAGGGAGCGGGCCCAGUGCCGCACUCAGGCCGGGGAGGAGCCGCAGAUGGCAAACAUGGCAGUGAGCCCCCCAUGCCCCACUCUGGGUCUGGAGACCAGCCCCCCACCCAGGGCCCUGCUUGGGCGAGGGGGAGAAAUGGGCUCCAGCAGAGCAGGUCCAGGGCAGGGGGCAUCUGAAAAGUGGCCGCAGGAACCUGUCCAGGAGGAAGGGGCCAGGGCUGUGGUGGGGGGAGCCCUGUCUGAGGAGGGUUUCCCAAAGUCAGGGAUCCCCACCCUCAGCCUGGACCAUCGGGGUGGGCUCCCCUCCCCAACAGAAAGGGAGGCCAAAGCUGGAAAGCUCCCAGGGCCUGGCAGGCCAGCUCUGGUAGGUUACCGCGUGGCAGAGCCCAGCCCCCAGGCCCCCUGCGCACCCCUGCCCCUGACUGCCACCACCCAUAGGCUGCUGACCCUGAGGCUGCUGCUGGGUGCCCUGCUGGGUGCCUACGUGUACAUGGUGAACCCCAGGCCCUUCGAGGGACUGGUGCCACCCCUGCUGAGCCAUGCCACCAUCUGGAAGUCCCUGCUGGACCCCUUCUUGCACCCUGAGGUGGAUGGCCUCCUGUCCUAGGCUGGAGGCCCAGCGGUUCCAGCGAGGAGGCGGCCAGGCGACCAGCACUGCCCCAGACGCCCAGUGGCCAUGUCGGGACCACUGUGCACCAUCCCUGCCAGGAGGUGCAGAGAAGGGUGGAGGCGGGGUCUGUCCUGAGGGCUGGGCCUGUGGCUGGACACAGAGUCAUGACAUACAUGGCCGAACUGAUGCAGACCCAAGGCAAGAGACCCUCACACUUCCCAGCCGCAGACCAUCGGCCACGCUCUCUUCCCAAGCCUCUGACUCAGCCCAAGUCCACAGAAAUGCCCCGGAGGAACCCACCUGCCCCUGCACACCAGACAGCAACCAACCCCUCUUCCGGGGCCUGGCCUCUGCCCUCCCCUAACUCUGGGGGUCCUGCAGCAACA
Molecule: long non-coding RNA, 2449 nt
Organism: Piliocolobus tephrosceles (Ugandan red Colobus)
Lineage: Eukaryota; Metazoa; Chordata; Mammalia; Primates; Cercopithecidae
Exons: 3
Source: RefSeq, a predicted model, not a curated record